RNAcentral lists this transfer RNA (77 nucleotides) under Bacillota bacterium. RNAcentral's name for it is "tRNA-Arg". It matches the Rfam family "tRNA". Rfam says of the family: Transfer RNA (tRNA) molecules are approximately 80 nucleotides in length. Their secondary structure includes four short double-helical elements and three loops (D, anti-codon, and T loops). Further hydrogen bonds mediate the characteristic L-shaped molecular structure. tRNAs have two regions of fundamental functional importance: the anti-codon, which is responsible for specific mRNA codon recognition, and the 3' end, to which the tRNAs corresponding amino acid is attached (by aminoacyl-tRNA synthetases). tRNAs cope with the degeneracy of the genetic code in two manners: having more than one tRNA (with a specific anti-codon) for a particular amino acid; and 'wobble' base-pairing, i.e. permitting non-standard base-pairing at the 3rd anti-codon position. RNAcentral also lists the same sequence under 2 other names. Lineage: Bacteria; Bacillati; Bacillota. The record is from RNAcentral.
GCGCUCAUAGCUCAAUUGGAUAGAGCGUUUGACUACGGAUCAAAAGGCUUCGGGUUCGACUCCUGAUGGGCGCGCCA